UGGGGAAUCUUGCACAAUGGAGGAAACUCUGAUGCAGCGACGCCGCGUGAGCGAUGAAGCCCUUCGGGGUGUAAAGCUCUUUCGGCAGGGAAGAUUAUGACGGUACCUGCAGAAGCAGCUGCGGCUAACUACGUGCCAGCAGCCGCGGUAAUACGUAGGCAGCAAGCGUUGUUCGGAGUUACUGGGCGUAAAGGGUGCGUAGGCGGCCUUUUAAGUUUGGUGUGAAAUCUCCCGGCUCAACCGGGAGGGUGCGCCGAAUACUGAGAGGCUAGAGUGUCGGAGAGGUAAGUGGAAUUCCUGGUGUAGCGGUGAAAUGCGUAGAUAUCAGGAGGAACACCGGUGGUGUAAACGGCUUACUGGACGAUAACUGACGCUGAAGCACGAAAGCGUGGGUAGCAAACAGGAUUAGAUACCCCCGUAGUCC
Molecule: ribosomal RNA, 424 nt
Filed under: uncultured bacterium
Lineage: Bacteria
Description: bacterial SSU rRNA
Rfam family: Bacterial small subunit ribosomal RNA
Source: RNAcentral